Molecule: long non-coding RNA, 218 nt
Organism: Ixodes scapularis (black-legged tick)
Lineage: Eukaryota; Metazoa; Arthropoda; Arachnida; Ixodida; Ixodidae
Exons: 3
Source: RefSeq, a predicted model, not a curated record
CAAAUUUCGUCAGCUGGUGUCGCGCAUCAUGGAGAAAAACCCCGAGAUCCAGGUCGCGUUCUCGGCCAUCCUUCCGAGGGAGGAACUCUGCCGCAAGGAGGGAUACGGCUUCAUCGACGGAAGCAGGCAGUCGUGGAGUGGGCUGCUCAUGCUGGAUGGUGUCCACUUCAACAAGAAAGGCAGCAGGGUGUUUGGACGCAUCCUUCGAGGCGGCCUUC